UCCGAAGGGUGCUAGCGUUGUUCGGAAUUACUGGGCGUAAAGCGCGCGUAGGCGGCUUUUCAAGUCAGGGGUGAAAUCCCACGGCUCAACCGUGGAAUUGCCUUUGAAACUGUGAAGCUAGAGUGUCGGAGGGGAUAGCGGAAUUGCUAAUGUAGAGGUGAAAUUCGUAGAUAUUAGCAGGAACACCGGUGGCGAAGGCGGCUAUCUGGACGACAACUGACGCUGAGGCGCGAAAGCGUGGGGAUCAAACAGG
This 253-nucleotide ribosomal RNA is filed under the name uncultured bacterium. RNAcentral's name for it is "partial 16S ribosomal RNA". It matches the Rfam family "Bacterial small subunit ribosomal RNA", at positions 524 to 776 of the family's 1533-position model. The record is from RNAcentral.